RNAcentral lists this ribosomal RNA (301 nucleotides) under uncultured bacterium. RNAcentral's name for it is "partial 16S ribosomal RNA". It matches the Rfam family "Bacterial small subunit ribosomal RNA", at positions 509 to 809 of the family's 1533-position model. The record is from RNAcentral.
CAGCCGCCGCGGUAAAACGUAGGUGGCAAGCGUUGUCCGGAAUUAUUGGGCGUAAAGCGCGCCCAGGCGGAUAGGUCAGUCUGUCUUAAAAGUUCGGGGCUUAACCCCGUGAUGGGAUGGAAACUGCCAAUCUAGAGUAUCGGAGAGGAAAGUGGAAUUCCUAGUGUAGCGGUGAAAUGCGUAGAUAUUAGGAAGAACACCAGUGGCGAAGGCGACUUUCUGGACGAAAACUGACGCUGAGGCGCGAAAGCCAGGGGAGCGAACGGGAUUAGAUACCCGAGUAGUCCCUGUCUCUUAUACA